Molecule: ribosomal RNA, 118 nt
Filed under: Pteropus alecto (black flying fox)
Lineage: Eukaryota; Metazoa; Chordata; Mammalia; Chiroptera; Pteropodidae
Source: RNAcentral
GUCUAGGGCCAUGCCACCCUUAACAAGCUGGAUUCGUCUGAUCUCAGAAGCUAAGCAGGGUCAGGCCUGGUUAGUACUUGGAUGGGAGACCACCUAAAACGACCAGGUGCUGUAGGCG